RNAcentral lists this ribosomal RNA (249 nucleotides) under uncultured bacterium. RNAcentral describes it as "partial 16S ribosomal RNA". It matches the Rfam family "Bacterial small subunit ribosomal RNA", at positions 523 to 769 of the family's 1533-position model. The record is from RNAcentral.
AUACGUAGGUGGCAAGCGUUGUCCGGAUUUAUUGGGCGUAAAGCGAGCGCAGGCGGUUUUUUAAGUCUGUAUGUGAAAGCCUUCGGACUCAACCGAAGAAGUGCAUCGGAAACUGGGAGACUUGAGUGCAGAAGAGGACAGUGGAACUCCAUGUGUAGCGGUGGAAUGCGUAGAUAUAUGGAAGAACACCAGUGGCGAAGGCGGCUGUCUAGUCUGUAACUGACGCUGAGGCUCGAAAGCAUGGGUAGC